AUUGAACGCUGGCGGCAUGCCUUACACAUGCAAGUCGAACGGCAGCAUGGAAGAGCUUGCUCUUCUGAUGGCGAGUGGCGAACGGGUGAGUAAAGCAUCGGAACGUACCGUGUAGUGGGGGAUAACGUAGCGAAAGUUACGCUAAUACCGCAUACGCACUGAGGUGGAAAGCAGGGGAUCGCAAGACCUUGCGCUAUACGAGCGGCCGAUGUCAGAUUAGCUAGUUGGUAGGGUAAAGGCCUACCAAGGCGACGAUCUGUAGCGGGUCUGAGAGGAUGAUCCGCCACAGUGGGACUUGGACACGGCCCGGACUCCUACGGGAGGCAGCAGUGGGGAAUUUUGGACAAUGGGCGAAAGCCUGAUCCAGCCAUGCCGCGUGAGUGAAGAAGGCCUUCGGGUUGUAAAGCUCUUUCGGCUGGGAAGAAAUCGCACAGGCUAAUACUCUGUGUGGAUGACGGUACCAGCACAAGAAGCACCGGCUAACUACGUGCCAGCCGCCGCCGUAA
Molecule: ribosomal RNA, 506 nt
Filed under: uncultured bacterium
Lineage: Bacteria
Description: partial 16S ribosomal RNA
Rfam family: Bacterial small subunit ribosomal RNA
Source: RNAcentral